ACCUGGCUAGCUCAGUCAGCAGAGCAUGAGACUCUUAAUCUCAGGGUCGUGGGUUCGUGCCUCACAUUGGGUG
This 73-nucleotide transfer RNA is filed under the name Mesocricetus auratus (golden hamster). It matches the Rfam family "tRNA". Rfam says of the family: Transfer RNA (tRNA) molecules are approximately 80 nucleotides in length. Their secondary structure includes four short double-helical elements and three loops (D, anti-codon, and T loops). Further hydrogen bonds mediate the characteristic L-shaped molecular structure. tRNAs have two regions of fundamental functional importance: the anti-codon, which is responsible for specific mRNA codon recognition, and the 3' end, to which the tRNAs corresponding amino acid is attached (by aminoacyl-tRNA synthetases). tRNAs cope with the degeneracy of the genetic code in two manners: having more than one tRNA (with a specific anti-codon) for a particular amino acid; and 'wobble' base-pairing, i.e. permitting non-standard base-pairing at the 3rd anti-codon position. Lineage: Eukaryota; Metazoa; Chordata; Mammalia; Rodentia; Cricetidae. The record is from Rfam by way of RNAcentral.